GCCCAACCGUAAACUUUAACUUACACUCAAAUCGCCAGGGAACUACGAGCAAUGCUUAAAACCCAAAGGACUUGACGGUGCCCCAUUCCACCUAGAGGAGCCUGUCCUAUAAUCGAUAACCCCCGUUUAACCUCACCAUUCUUUGUCACCCCAGUCUGUAUACCUCCGUCGUCAGUUUACCACGUGAGCGCCCCUCAGUAAGCAUAAAGGCUAAUUCGCCAAAACGUCAGGUCAAGGUGCAGCUUAUAGAAUGGGAAGAGAUGGGCUACACUCUCUAAUAUAGAAAAUACGGAAAACUGUCUAUGAAACUUCAGUUAGAAGGCGGAUUUAGCAGUAAAAUGAGACAAAAGUGCUCAUUUAAAUACGGCCCUGGGGUGUGUACACACCGCCCGUCACCCUCUUCGAAACUAAAAAAAUAGUUUUUAACACCCUAUAAACUUAAAGAAGAGGCAAGUCGUAACAUGGUAAGCUUACCGGAAGGUGUGCUUGGAAAC
Molecule: ribosomal RNA, 494 nt
Filed under: Scinax x-signatus (Venezuela snouted treefrog)
Lineage: Eukaryota; Metazoa; Chordata; Amphibia; Anura; Hylidae
Description: partial small subunit ribosomal RNA
Rfam family: Bacterial small subunit ribosomal RNA
Source: RNAcentral